GAUCCUGGCUCAGGAUGAACGCUAGCUACAGGCUUAACACAUGCAAGUCGAGGGGCGAGCAUGGUCUUAGCUUGUCUAAGGCCGGAUGGCGGACCGGCGCACGGGUGAGUAACACGUAUCCAACCUGCCGUCGUACUCUUGGACAGCCUUCUGAAAGGAAGAUUAAUACAAGAUGGCAUCAUGAGUCCGCAUGUUCACAUGAUUAAAGGUAUUCCGGUAGACGAUGGGGA
This 230-nucleotide ribosomal RNA is filed under the name uncultured bacterium. Its description in RNAcentral is "partial 16S ribosomal RNA". It matches the Rfam family "Bacterial small subunit ribosomal RNA", at positions 15 to 231 of the family's 1533-position model. The record is from RNAcentral.